Molecule: long non-coding RNA, 1137 nt
Organism: Cydia pomonella (codling moth)
Lineage: Eukaryota; Metazoa; Arthropoda; Insecta; Lepidoptera; Tortricidae
Exons: 3
Source: RefSeq, a predicted model, not a curated record
GAGUAAAAAAAAAACAAUAACCUAUCGUAUCUGUUUCAUCAUCAUUAAUUUUCGUUUUCAUAAAUCUCUGUUUCUAUAUCAGCAGGCGUAUUAUGGAUGGCUUUACCCGUGUGAUAAAAUAAGUGUCACUUUUUAAAUAAAAGAACUAAAUUAAAAAUAUAUAUAUGCUGUCUAAGGCUGUCACGCAGACAAAUAACAACGAUCAUACCAGUACUGGGAAUGUGGCCAAGGUGCUAUUUGUUAACGCUUCGUAGCGAACGAAACGCAACGGUCACUAUCGCAAUAAUAUGAAAGAGUGAUAGAGAGAGAUGACUACACAACGCUACGGAGCGUUAACGAUGGCACGUUGGCUAAGCACCCUAAUAUCUUUGACUAAAAUGUUACACCGUACGGAUGGACUGACGGACUUAAGAGCUAUAGAAAAAGAUCGAUGUUUAAAAAUAGGUCCAUAUAACUAUGGACAAAACUUAAAAUUGUUUUUUAAAUUUUAAUAGAAGGUUCAAUCUUUUUGCCUAUUGCACUUAUCUGUCUUCGUUCACUAGUGCAGUUAUGACCAAAAUAUUUUGCACAUUUCUAGUACUCAUUUCUGUCUCUCAUAAAAAACACUCGUCAGCAUUUCAUUAACCUUAAUAUAUUUUUGUUGCAGGAACUCAAAACUGCAAAAGAAAAUACAAAUAAAAAACACAGCAGGGACGCAAGGAACGUGCCAUGGCAACAUUAUAGAAAUCACUCCGGGUGAGGUUUCCGCUGCCGCUUAUGACUGAACUGCCGGCAAUGUCGGACCUCGAACCGUGACAGCGUAAAGCGGGUCCGGCCGCUUACCCCGCUCAGCCACAAAUAGAUACUAUAAAGUAUAUGGUAUAUGUAUACCAAUGGAGGUACGACAGAAUUAUUAGCUCGAUGAAACUGAACUCACGCAGCCACCUGCAAAAACUAAUAAACAAUAGAAAAAAAGAUUCCAGAUGGGUUGGGGCUGCAUCAAAAAUUAAAAGCCUUUUAAUGACGACCGCCUGCCUCCGGCGAUGACUGCUGUCUGCAAUACGGAUUCAACAAUACUAUUUUAAUUUUAAUAUAUAUCAUAUCAUUUGUUCAGUAAUAAUCAUACAUUGUCAUUGGCAUAUAUGUCACUUAAGGAAA